AGAAGUCGAGACUCAGUAAGACCAAGACAAAUUGGCCCUUCAAAAGUCUUUACUCCACUCCCGUUACACGAAAAUGAGCAAAGACGGGCAGCUGUAACGGGCCUAUUUUGCCCGGGACCAAAUCAGACCAAAAAUAAACAAACACAAAAAAAUAAAUAAAAAUCCCAAAUAUCAAACCCAGACUACAAAGCCCAAAAAAAUUAAAAACCCUAAUAGCCCAAAUAGCCCAACACCCCAAACACCUAAUAGAAACCCUACCCCCCAUUUGCGCUGCACCUAGCAUCUGACAGCCACUGCCACCGCCGCUCCUCCCACACGCGCCGCACAGCCUCCUCGCACGCCACC
RNAcentral lists this long non-coding RNA (345 nucleotides) under Gossypium raimondii (Peruvian cotton). RNAcentral's name for it is "long non-coding RNA (GRAI_LNC007966)". Lineage: Eukaryota; Viridiplantae; Streptophyta; Magnoliopsida; Malvales; Malvaceae. The record is from RNAcentral.